Molecule: long non-coding RNA, 508 nt
Organism: Suricata suricatta (meerkat)
Lineage: Eukaryota; Metazoa; Chordata; Mammalia; Carnivora; Herpestidae
Exons: 3
Source: RefSeq, a predicted model, not a curated record
CGCGUGCAUGGCUCCCCUCAGCAGAGCGUUCUCGGUCCGAGACCCCCUGACGGGGGCGUGCUUCACAACUGGCCAGGGUCCCGGGUUGCCACACCUUCGCGGCUACUGUUCCUGUCCUGCAGCAGCCCGACCCAGCGCUCCUCUCUGAAGGCGGCUGGGAAAUCUGAGAAACGUAUUGAGCGCCUGCUGUGUGCCUCUCACUCUGUGUUUCUCAGUAUGCAAAUAGUUGGAAUGACCAGCAAGACAUAGUACCAGACAAGAAAAAGCUUUUAGACUUUACAGCCUGAGACCACAAGGGACAGUCUUUAGACAAGGAAAAUUGAGGAAGAAAGAGAAGUCUUAAUUAACAAAGAAGAUGCAUUCUGAAGCCAUGGUCUGCAUCAGACACAGCUCUGCUUUCUGACAUCUUACCAUGUGCAGCUACGCCCCUUGGCAGUGGUCUGGAACCUGAAAUAUCUCUGUGGAAUACCCAUAUAAAAUUUGAUGAGUCUGAACAUAUGCAAACACC